GUUCUUCACUGUCGUUGUGUUUUUUUUUUCACAAUAGGACACAGAGUUAGUAAGGCGUAUAGAGAUAAUAAUAUCAUUUAAUAUUUAUUAACAGCUAUGGCCUCAUCUAUAGAUUUUAUUGAGAGUAUCUGAUUCGUCGAAACAAUAUACACAAUAUUCCU
Long non-coding RNA from Cydia splendana, 161 nucleotides. RefSeq lists it as uncharacterized. The record is from RefSeq and is a predicted model, not a curated record. Lineage: Eukaryota; Metazoa; Arthropoda; Insecta; Lepidoptera; Tortricidae. The transcript has 2 exons.